UACGAAGGACCCGAGCGUUAUCCGGAUUUAUUGGGUUUAAAGGGUGCGUAGGCGGACACGCAAGUCAGUAGUGAAAUCUCCCAGCUUAACUGGGAAACUGCCAUUGAAACUAUGUGUCUUGAGUACAUUUGAGGCGGGCGGAAUGUGUCAUGUAGAGGUGAAAUUCUUAGAUAUGACACAGAACACCAAUUGCGAAGGCAGCUCGCUAAACUGUAACUGACGCUGAGGCACGAAAGCGUGGGGAUCAAACAGG
Molecule: ribosomal RNA, 253 nt
Filed under: uncultured bacterium
Lineage: Bacteria
Description: partial 16S ribosomal RNA
Rfam family: Bacterial small subunit ribosomal RNA
Source: RNAcentral